This 830-nucleotide long non-coding RNA is filed under the name Homo sapiens (human). RNAcentral describes it as "non-protein coding CA3-AS1:2". Lineage: Eukaryota; Metazoa; Chordata; Mammalia; Primates; Hominidae. The record is from RNAcentral.
AUAUGCAAGCUCACUUAAGACAUUCAAGGAGGUCUGGAUCCUUUCCUCACUGCCCAGGCCCGGGCCCACCCCACCUUUAACCGUCAGGGUUCCCCACUACCUGGGAAGCCCCACACCCUCCAAAGAUGCGCUAGGUGCGCCAGACGCAUGCUCCUCUGCUCCGCUGGCUCCGAAGAACCAGAUCUGAGGCCAAGAUAAAACCCGAUUCCUGAUGUCCGACCCCCUAACAUUAGAAGUCGAGAGAUGAAGGGAAAACUCGGAAAUCAGAGCCAUGGAUUCAAACCAGCACUGGAAAAUGCCCCGGGACAGUUCGUGCUGAGCGCCUUAGCCACAGGAAACAUUUUCCUGGGCAUCUAAAAGUAUUGUGGACCUGAGACACUGUGCUUACAGGGCCUACUGGUUUUCACUGUAUGAGACCGAGAAUGGAUUAUGGCAGUUCCUCUUACCUCCGCUGCAUACUUGACUCCAUCCACGGUGUGCUCAGAGCCAUGAUCAUCCGAAGAGCCCCAGUGAAGAUGAAACUGGCGAAGUCGGUAGGGUCCAGGGAGAGGACCCCCUCUCAGCACUGUGAUUCAGAUAAGCUUGGUCAACAGUGAAUUCAUGCUUCUUUUACAGAGCUCUACUUUAACCAAGUGCUCUUAGAGCCAAGGCUUAAUGGACAAAAUGUGGUCAGUUUGCUGGGUGGAUGGUGCCACUCCCAGGACACUGGACUCCUCACAAAAUGAAGUCUGGGGAUAUGUCAAGAUAAAUGAUUGUUCUUUUCUGUCUUUCUUAUUUUGUUUGCUUGUUUCAUUAUUAUUGAAACAUCAUUUUAACAUUUAGGAAAGCAA